UACGGAGGAUGCGAGCGUUAUCCGGAUUUAUUGGGUUUAGAGGGUGCGUAGGCGGGAUGCCAAGUCAGCGGUAAAAAUGCGGUGCUCAACGCCGUCGAGCCGUUGAAACUGGCGUUCUUGAGUGGGCGAGAAGUAUGCGGAAUGCGUGUGUAGCGGUGAAAUGCAUAGAUAUCACGCAGAACUCCGAUUGCGAAGGCAGCAUACCGGCGCCCUACUGACGCUGAGGCACGAAAGCGUGGGUAUCGAACAGG
This 251-nucleotide ribosomal RNA is filed under the name uncultured bacterium. RNAcentral describes it as "partial 16S ribosomal RNA". It matches the Rfam family "Bacterial small subunit ribosomal RNA", at positions 524 to 776 of the family's 1533-position model. The record is from RNAcentral.